AGUAAAUUGGUUAAGUUAGAAAGGGCGCACGGUGGAUGCCUUGGCACUAGGAGCCGAAGAAGGACGGGACUAACACCGAUAUGCUUUGGGGAGCUGUACGUAAGCGUUGAUCCAGAGAUUUCCGAAUGGGGGAACCCACUAUCUUUAGUCGGAUAGUAUCCUUACGUGAAUACAUAGCGUGAGGAAGGCAGACCCAGGGAACUGAAACAUCUAAGUACCUGGAGGAAGAGAAAGAAAAAUCGAUUUCCUGAGUAGCGGCGAGCGAAACGGAAAGAGCCCAAACCAAGAAGCUUGCUUCUUGGGGUUGUAGGACACUCUAUACGGAGUUACAAAAGAAAGUUAUAAAUGAAGCGGUCUGGAAAGGCCCGCCAAAGACGGUAACAGCCCGGUAGUUGAAAUGGCUUUCCCUCCAGAGAGGAUCCUAAGUACGGCGGAAAACCUUAAAUUCCGCCGAAAUCCGGG
This 462-nucleotide ribosomal RNA is filed under the name Listeria monocytogenes. RNAcentral's name for it is "bacterial LSU rRNA". It matches the Rfam family "Bacterial large subunit ribosomal RNA", at positions 1 to 448 of the family's 2925-position model. Lineage: Bacteria; Bacillati; Bacillota; Bacilli; Caryophanales; Listeriaceae. The record is from RNAcentral.